RNAcentral lists this ribosomal RNA (413 nucleotides) under Blastocystis sp. RNAcentral describes it as "SSU rRNA". It matches the Rfam family "Eukaryotic small subunit ribosomal RNA", at positions 510 to 933 of the family's 1831-position model. Lineage: Eukaryota; Bigyra; Opalinata; Blastocystidae. The record is from RNAcentral.
UGGAUUGAGAACAAUGUACAACUCUUAUCGAUAAGCCAUUGGAGGGCAAGUCUGGUGCCAGCAGCCGCGGUAAUUCCAGCUCCAAUAGCGUAUAUUAACGUUGUUGCAGUUAAAAAGCUCGUAGUUGAAGUGUGGGUGAUCGCUGUUGUGAGACUUCGGUCUCUCGACAGUAAGUCACCCCCUUCCAGUAUCCAGUAGUGGGUAUUCAGUUACUUACUAUUGUGUGUUGGUCAUUUACUGUGAGAAAAUUAGAGUGUUCAAAGCAGGCGUUUGCUUGAAUAGAUUAGCAUGGAAUAAUAAUUGAAGGCUUUCGUGUUCGAUUUGAUUGGUUUGUUCAUGGAAGCAAGGUUAAAAGGAACAGUUGGGGGUAUUCAUAUUCACUAGUUAGAGGUGAAAUUCUCGGAUUUAUGGAA